CAGGUGCCAGGCGUGGGAGCAAACCGAUUAGAUACCCUGUAGUCCACCCCGUAAACGAUGUCGACCUGGAAGGUUGUGGCCCCUGACGGCGUGGCUUCCCGAGGCUAACGCGUUAAAGUCGACCGUCCUGGGGAGUACGGCCGNCAGGUUAAAACUCAAAUGAAUUGACGGGGGGCCGCACAAGCGGUGGAGCAUGUGGUUUAAUUCGAUGCAACGCGAAGAACCUUACCUACUCUUGACAUCCAGAGAACUUUGCAGAGAAAUGCAUUUGGUGCCUUCGGGAACUCUGAGACAGGUGCUGCAUGGCUGUCGUCAGCUCGUGUUGUGAAAUGUUGGGUUAAGUCCCGCAACGAGCGCAACCCUUAUCCUUUGUUGCCAGCGGUUCGGCCGGGAACUCAAAGGAGACUGCCAGUGAUAAACUGGAGGAAGGUGGGGAUGACGUCAAGUCAUCAUGGCCCUUACGAGUAGGGCUACACACGUGCUACAAUGGCGCAUACAAAGAGAAGCGACCUCGCGAGAGCAAGCGGACCUCAUAAAGUGCGUCGUAGUCCGGAUUGGAGUCUGCAACUCGACUCCAUGAAGUCGGAAUCGCUAGUAAUCGUAGAUCAGAAUGCUACGGUGAAUACGUUCCCGGGCCUGUACACACCGCCCGUCACACCAUGGGAGUGGGUUGCAAAAGAAGUAGGUAGCUUUACCUUCGGGAGGGCGCUUACCACUCUGUAUUGGACUGACUG
RNAcentral lists this ribosomal RNA (734 nucleotides) under bacterium amphCTABsum06-1. RNAcentral describes it as "bacterial SSU rRNA". It matches the Rfam family "Bacterial small subunit ribosomal RNA", at positions 748 to 1477 of the family's 1533-position model. The record is from RNAcentral.